This 252-nucleotide ribosomal RNA is filed under the name uncultured bacterium. RNAcentral describes it as "partial 16S ribosomal RNA". It matches the Rfam family "Bacterial small subunit ribosomal RNA", at positions 524 to 776 of the family's 1533-position model. The record is from RNAcentral.
UACGUAGGGUGCGAGCGUUAAUCGGAAUUACUGGGCGUAAAGCGUGCGCAGGCGGUUUUGUAAGCCAGGUGUGAAAUCCCCGGGCUCAACCUGGAAUGGCAUUUGGGACUGCAAGGCUGGAGUGCGGCAGAGGAGACUGGAAUUCCUGGUGUAGCAGUGAAAUGCGUAGAUAUCAGGAGGAACACCGAUGGCGAAGGCAGGUCUCUGGGCUGACACUGACGCUCAUGCACGAAAGCGUGGGGAGCAAACAGG